AGACCGAUAGCGAACAAGUAGAGUGAUCGAAAGAUGAAAAGCACUUUGAAAAGAGGGUUAAAAAGUACGUGAAAUUGUUGAAAGGGAAGCGCCUGUGACCAGACUUGCGCCCCGCGGACCACCCGGCGUUCUCGCCGGUGCACUCUGCGGUGCGCAGGCCAGCAUCGGUUCUCCCAGGGGGACAAAGGCCGCGGGAACGUAGCUCCUUCGGGAGUGUUAUAGCCCGCGGCGGCAUGCCCCUGGGGGGACCGAGGACCGCGCUUCGGCAAGGAUGCUGGCGUAAUGGUCACCAGCGACCCGUCUUGAAACACGGACCAAG
Molecule: ribosomal RNA, 319 nt
Filed under: Sporothrix schenckii
Lineage: Eukaryota; Fungi; Ascomycota; Sordariomycetes; Ophiostomatales; Ophiostomataceae
Description: LSU rRNA
Rfam family: Eukaryotic large subunit ribosomal RNA
Source: RNAcentral